UUUGGGGAUUACCUGGUUCAAGCUUGUAGUCGUGGCCCUUAGGCAAAUCCGGGGGUCUUAGAUGAGGAGUGAUAACGAGGCGGCUUGCCGCCGAAGUGAGUGAUACCCUGCUUCCAAGAAAAGCCACUAAGCUUCAGCUGCACACGACCGUACCGCAAACCGACACUGGUGCGCGAGAUGAGUAUUCUAAGGCGCUUGAGAGAACUCUGGAGAAGGAACUCGGCAAAUUGACACCGUAACUUCGGAAGAAGGUGUGCCUUUAGUAGGUGAACCAUUUACUUGGGGAGCCCAAUGAGGCCGCAGAGAAUCGGUGGCUGCGACUGUUUACUAAAAACACAGCACUCUGCAAAGACGAAAGUCGACGUAUAGGGUGUGACGCCUGCCCGGUGCUGGAAGAUUAAAUGAUGGGGUGCAAGCUCUUGAUUGAAGUCCCAGUAAACGGCGGCCGUAACAAUAACGGUCCUAAGGUAGCGAAAUUCCUUGUCGUGUAAGUUCCGACCUGCACGAAUGGCGUAACGAUGGCCACACUGUCUCCUCCAGAGACUCAGCGAAGUUGAAAUGUUUGUGAUGAUGCAAUCUCCCCGCGGAAAGACGGAAAGACCCCAUGAACCUUUACUGUAGCUUUACAUUGGACUUUGAACAGAUCUGUGUAGGAUAGGUGGGAGGCUUUGAAGCCGGGACGCUAGUUCUGGUGGAGCCAACGUUGAAAUACCACCCUGGUGUGUUUGAGGUUCUAACCUUGGCCCGUUAUCCGGGUUGGGGACAGUGUAUGGUGGGCAGUUUGACUGGGGCGGUCUCCUCCCAAAGCGUAACGGAGGAGUUCGAAGGUACGCUAGGCACGGUCGGAAAUCGUGCUGAUAGUGCAUAGGCAUAAGCGUGCUUGACUGCGAGACGGACAUGUCGAGCAGGUACGAAAGUAGGACUAAGUGAUCCGGUGGUUCUGUAUGGAAGGGCCAUCGCUCAACGGAUAAAAGGUACUCUGGGGAUAACAGGCUGAUACCGCCCAAGAGUUCAUAUCGACGGCGGUGUUUGGCACCUCGAUGUCGGCUCAUCUCAUCCUGGGGCUGUAGCCGGUCCCAAGGGUAUGGCUGUCCGCCAUUUAAAGAGGUACGUGAGCUGGGUUUAAAACGUCGUGAGACAGUUUGGUCCCUAUCUUCCGUGGGCGCUGCAAGAUUGAGAGAGCCUGCUCCUAGUACGAGAGGACCGGAGUGGACGCACCUCUGGUGCAUCGGUUGUCACGCCAGUGGCAUAGCCGAGUAGCUAAGUGCGGAAGAGAUAACCGCUGAAAGCAUCUAAGCGGGAAACUCGUCUCAAGAUGAGUCUUGCCGGGGCCUUGAGUCCCCUGAAGAGUCGUUCGAGACCAGGACGUUGAUAGGCCGGGUUGGAAGCGCAGUAAUGCGUUAAGCUAACCGGUACUAAUUGCUCGUGCGGCUUGACCCG
RNAcentral lists this ribosomal RNA (1440 nucleotides) under metagenome. Its description in RNAcentral is "bacterial LSU rRNA". It matches the Rfam family "Bacterial large subunit ribosomal RNA", at positions 1495 to 2925 of the family's 2925-position model. The record is from RNAcentral.